GGGCCAUUAGCUCAGUUGGUCAGAGCAACCGGCUCAUAACCGGUCGGUCCUGGGUUCGAGUCCCCGAUGGCCCACCA
RNAcentral lists this transfer RNA (77 nucleotides) under Ruminococcus sp. RNAcentral's name for it is "tRNA-Ile". It matches the Rfam family "tRNA". Rfam says of the family: Transfer RNA (tRNA) molecules are approximately 80 nucleotides in length. Their secondary structure includes four short double-helical elements and three loops (D, anti-codon, and T loops). The record is from RNAcentral. Lineage: Bacteria; Bacillati; Bacillota; Clostridia; Eubacteriales; Oscillospiraceae. RNAcentral also lists the same sequence under 5 other names.